GCGACGAUGUAGUAGCGAAUUAUCUCCUCGUGGGAGUUGUCUCGUCGCGGGGUAAUAGUGUUGAUCGAGUUAUCUCCUCGUGGGAGUUGUCUCACGAUAAUGUAGUAGCACGGAUCAAUUAAUCUCCUCGUGGGAGUUGUCUCUGGGGUAAUAGAAUUGAUCGAGUUAUCUCCUCGUGGGAUUGUCUCGCGAUAAUGUAGUAGCACGGAUCAAUUAAUCUCCUCGUGGGAGUUGUCUCGCGAUAAUGUAGUAGCACGGAUCAAUUAAUCUCCUCGUGGGAGUUGUCUCUAGGGUAAUAGAAUUGAUCGAGUUAUCUCCUCGUGGGAGUUGUCUCGCGAUAAUGAAGUAGCACGGAGCUAGUAUUCU
RNAcentral lists this long non-coding RNA (366 nucleotides) under Erythranthe guttata (spotted monkey flower). RNAcentral describes it as "long non-coding RNA (EGUT_LNC000354)". The record is from RNAcentral. Lineage: Eukaryota; Viridiplantae; Streptophyta; Magnoliopsida; Lamiales; Phrymaceae.